RNAcentral lists this transfer RNA (76 nucleotides) under Candidatus Bipolaricaulota bacterium. RNAcentral describes it as "tRNA-Val". It matches the Rfam family "tRNA". Rfam says of the family: Transfer RNA (tRNA) molecules are approximately 80 nucleotides in length. Their secondary structure includes four short double-helical elements and three loops (D, anti-codon, and T loops). Lineage: Bacteria; Candidatus Bipolaricaulota. The record is from RNAcentral.
GGGUGGUUAGCUCAGCUGGGAGAGCGCCUGCUUGACGUGCAGGAGGUCACAGGUUCGAGCCCUGUACUACCCACCA